RNAcentral lists this ribosomal RNA (484 nucleotides) under Crossodactylus aeneus (Mueller's spinythumb frog). RNAcentral describes it as "partial small subunit ribosomal RNA". It matches the Rfam family "Bacterial small subunit ribosomal RNA", at positions 794 to 1516 of the family's 1533-position model. Lineage: Eukaryota; Metazoa; Chordata; Amphibia; Anura; Hylodidae. The record is from RNAcentral.
GUCCAGCCGUAAACUUUAAAUUACCCCAUAUACCGCCAGGGAACUACGAGCUAAGCUUAAAACCCAAAGGACUUGACGGUACCCCAUGUCCCUCUAGAGGAGCCUGUCCUAUAAUCGAUAACCCCCGUUUAACCUCACCAUUUUUAGCUAAUCAGUUUGUAUACCUCCGUCGCCAGCUUACCACGUGAGCGAAGUAUAGUGAGCUUAAUGUCCACACGCCAACACGUCAGGUCAAGGUGCAACAAAUAAAAUGGAAAGAGAUGGGCUACACUUUCUAAUUUAGAAAAUACGAAAAACUAUUUAUGAAAUUCUAGUUUGAAGGCGGAUUUAGUAGUAAAAAGAAACCAGAGUGUUCUUUUUAACAAGGCCCUGGGGUGUGUACACACCGCCCGUCACCCUCUUCAAAGCUAUUUAUUAGUUAUUAACAAAUUUUUGCAUUAUAGAAGAGGCAAGUCGUAACAUGGUAAGUAUACCGGAAGGUGUG